RNAcentral lists this long non-coding RNA (470 nucleotides) under Elaeis guineensis (African oil palm). Its description in RNAcentral is "long non-coding RNA (EGUI_LNC015970)". The record is from RNAcentral. Lineage: Eukaryota; Viridiplantae; Streptophyta; Magnoliopsida; Arecales; Arecaceae.
UUGCUCACCACUCCCCACUGACUUAAGCAUCGGAGGGUCCCCAUCGGACAUAAUUUCGAUCAGUGCAGACUUCUUUUGCAGGUUCUCUUCUCCGGUGACGGACGUAACAAGAGAUUGGCCGCAAUAGAUUGGCGCGCCAGGUAGGGGCAGAAAAUUCAAUCAUCAUGGUAAAAAUCUAGUUAUCAUAGUGAAAAUGAGAGCCCAGAAUAUUUUCAUCGGCUCCAUUCGACAAUCUUUCCAUCAGGAAGAUCCCACACCUCCAUCGGUAGAGCCCAAUUCUUCGCUUCCGAUCAUCACCGCAGACAUUUAGCAAUUCGUUGCCUUCGUACAGCAAGUAAAGAUGCUGACAAAGACAGUCCAUAUCUUCUAGCAAUAGUAAAUACAAUCAAUAAUCGAUGGUGGUGCAAUCUCGACGGCAGUCUUAUCAGUGGGAUGGGCCACACCACUCAGCCCAUCACUCUCAAUGCACC